UACGGCGGGUGCGAGCGUUUAUCGGAAUUACUGGGCGUAAAGCGUGCGUAGGCGGAUGCUUGAGUCGGAUGUGAAAGCCCUGGGCUCAACCUGGGAAUGGCAUUCGAUACUGGGCAUCUAGAGUGUGGUAGAGGGGGGUAGAAUUCCUGGUGUAGCGGUGAAAUGCGUAGAGAUCAGGAUGAAUUUCUAAGGAGACGGCGACCACCGGGAUCAACACUGACGCUGAGGUACGAAAGCGUGGGUAGCAAACAGG
This 253-nucleotide ribosomal RNA is filed under the name uncultured bacterium. RNAcentral's name for it is "partial 16S ribosomal RNA". It matches the Rfam family "Bacterial small subunit ribosomal RNA", at positions 524 to 776 of the family's 1533-position model. The record is from RNAcentral.